GCGCCCUCCGGCCGAGGGGCGGCGCCGCGGCCGCCACCGCCCCGUGUCUAUGGUGAGGGGCCAUGGCGGAGCGGCUGUGGGGCGCUGAGGCGGGCGGCGCCGUGUACCGCUCCCGCGACCCCGUGCGCAAUCUGCGCCUCCGGGUCCGCAUCCAGCGGGUCACGGCCGCCGGGCCCCUCCCGGCUCAGGCCUCGCCGCCGCCGCCGCCGCUCUCCACACCGCGCGGCCCCGAGCUCCUGGCGCUGGCCGCCCGCGCCUCGCCAGAUGCCCGGCGGCCCCCGGACGAGGAAGAGGAGGCAGAGGUGGGGUGGCAGGAGAAGCUCUUCAGCCAGUUUGAGGUAGAUCUUUAUCAAAAUGAGUCAGCCUGUCAAACUCACCUGGACCGGCAGUACCACAAGGAGAUCCUGAAACUGGAGAAGGCUGGGGGUCGGAAGAACUAUCGCAUCUUCACCUACACUGAUCAUGACCGAUUCACCAACCUAGAGGAGCACUGCCAGAAGGUAACUGACUCAGAUCAUGAGGUGCCGUCAUAUCUGGCAGAGAGGAUGGCCAAUGUGAGGAGGAGAAGACAAGACCGUAAACCAAUAGAGGCGAAUUCUCUUAAGUCAAAAAUAAUCACCUGGGAGCCCUCAGAAGAAUUUAUAAAGAACAAUCAUGUGAUUAACACUCCUGUUCAGACUAUGUACGUCAUGGGGGACUUGGGACCUUAUGGGAAGCUUGGUCAAAGGGAAUAUGAACGUGUUCUUUGUACAAUCAAGGUGGAUGGCAGUGGGGUGAUCACAGUGAAGCCUGACUUUACUGGCACCAAAGGAGCCUACUGGAUUGAGCUGGAUAGACAGAAGCGAGAGCUGUGGAAAUACACCAUUGAGAAUGCAUCCAUCCAAGUGCAGCAAGAGGAGGAGGAACGUGAGCAGCGUGUGUUCAGAGAUCUGUACAGUCGACACAAGGAGUACCUCAGUGGUCUUGUAGGCUCAGAAUUUGAGAUGACUCUUCCUGGUGCAUUGCGUCUUUUUGUGAAUGGAGAAGUAGUUUCAGCUCAAGGCUAUGAGUAUGACAACCUCUAUGUUCAUUUCUUCCUGGAGCUGCCUGACCACUGGUCAAGCCCCGCAUUCCAGCAGCUAUCAGGAGUGACACAGACCUGUGCCACCAAGACAGAGGAUUGGGAUAACGUGGCGUACUUCUGCUACCCCUUCACUUUGGAGAUGUUUUUCUCCCAAGAAAAUGAAUCAGAAGACUGUCUCCCUCAAUGGCCUGUUCUCUACUUUGAAGUUCUGUCCCUUGAUUUCUGGCAGAGAUACCGUGUUGAAGGGUAUGGUUCAUUGGUGCUGCCAGCAUCUCCAGGUCUCCAUAUACUCACCAUCCCUACCUGGCGCCCUGUGGAACUGGGGACUGUUGCUGAACUGAGGAGAUUUUUCAUUGGUGGAUCUCCUGAGUUAGAGGAUAUGACCUAUGUCAGGAUACCAGCAACCUUCAAGGUCCUCUCACUGGGCACCAGAGAGAAGAGAUCAGUGCCUGCCCCUCCGCUCCCCCUGGCCUUUCAUCAUGUCUGUUGCCCUUCUUUGGGACCUCUCUGAGAGGCUGAUGUCCUUCUUCUCUCAUGGCUCCCAAGGUAGCCCACAGUCCUCAAGGUGAGGCUGCACCAGUGCAGAGUGGAGCAGGACAAGCACUCCCCUUGACCGGCUAACUCUGCUGUGCUUACUGCAGCCCAGGAUACACUUGGUCCUUUUGGCUGCUAGGGCACACUGCUGACUCAGGUUCCACUUGUUGUUGACCAUAACCCCCAGAUCCCUUUGCAUAGGGCUGAUCUCCAGCCUCUCAUUCACAGGCUGUACUUAUAUCCAUGGCUGCCCCAUCCCAGGUACAGAAUCUGGUGUCUCUUGACUUCAGAUGUCUGUGGACAGUUUAGACUGGACUUGAACAGAUACUGUUGUGGUCAUGUCCCUCUGACUAAAUAAAUGGAUCCCCUUUGAUACUUGUGAGUAAGACAAGAAUGGGCAAACCCUGAGAUAGAGCUCUCUGCCUUUUGAGGUGUGUGUAACCUAGAGAAGUGGUUGUAUGUGUUCCAAAAUCUUGCCUUGCCCCUGCUUGUACUGUCCUUGUCUGAAAAUUGUCUGUCAGGUCACCAUUUUUUUUUAAUCAAGUAUGAACAUUGUCAUGUGUUUUUGUGAGGAACAUGGGCUAUACUGCACUUGGAAGUGAGUUGCCUGCAGUGAUAAGCUGAUGGGUGUGAGGCAGGCAGAAGUUUCACAUUAAGAAAGUUGCAGUGGUGCUUGCUGGUGUAAUGAGCAAGUUAGUAUUAAGUGGCUUUGAGUGAGAAUAAGCAGUUGAAACCUUCCUUCAGCACUGCACUAUCAACUUCCUAGUGUUUAUGUCCUGCUCUCAGCAAAGCCUGGUACUAUCUGCCCUUCUCUCCUACCUCACUUUCUGUGUGAAGCGGGACUAGAAGAGACUCUCUGCCUGCAAGAGUGCUUGCUUCUGGGAGAGCGUCUGAGCCGCUUUGGUUUUCACACAGAGACAACAGGGAGUGUCACGUUCCGGCUUUACUGCCUGCAGCAAUCCAAAGCCUUUCUGGAGACCAGUGCCUCGAGGCAUCGCAUGCAGAGUGUACUAGACCGGCUUG
RNA transcript from Anas platyrhynchos (mallard), 2620 nucleotides. It is a transcript of the gene named MKS transition zone complex subunit 1, with no coding region annotated. NCBI's taxonomy places the organism in Eukaryota, Metazoa, Chordata, Aves, Anseriformes, Anatidae. The record is from RefSeq and is a predicted model, not a curated record.